Mesocricetus auratus (golden hamster) is the source of this 1202-nucleotide long non-coding RNA. RefSeq lists it as uncharacterized. The record is from RefSeq and is a predicted model, not a curated record. The transcript is spliced from 3 exons. NCBI's taxonomy places the organism in Eukaryota, Metazoa, Chordata, Mammalia, Rodentia, Cricetidae.
UUAGUAAGUUGGCCCUAAGUUAGGAAGAUGAUUCAGGUUUAUCUGCGUGGGUCCAGAUAAAAGAGGGGUAGAAGAGAAAAGUAGAUAGAUGACAGGAUGAGGACAACCUAGUCCAACACUGCUAUGUGAGCUUUGACGAUUCAGGAAGAGGGUACACGCAAGGAAUACAGGCAGCCUCUCGACUCUGAAAGAGCAUAGCAAUGGAUUCUUCCUUGGAGACUCCAGAAGACUCUCCGUAUCCGAACAUCCCUCCCCUGUCAUCUCUGUUUUGCCUGAAAUGUUAUUUCUCCUGCUUGCUUUUCUGCCCAUUCCACACAAACUGACCUUCAUUAACCGACCACCACCUCACAGUCUGGAAGUCCACCUUAGUCUUAAUUGUGUGCUAUUCUGUUGUUCGAUUGUUACUCAGAAUCAUUUCAGAUUUCAUGAAGGUUGAUUGGACUUGAUCCAUCAUUUUAUGGAAAAUUAAUUAUUUCAAAUACAUGCACCACUUUAUGCAACCUGCCUGAUUUGCAUUGAAGAAAAUUCAGCAGAAGUAAUUGAGGCACAAGCAAAUACUGGCACUGACUGAACUCAAUUUUCAUUCCAAAUUUCUGCAAAAUCCCAAGGCACAACAAUAUCAGAUGCAAGGGGGAAAACAAACAAAAGCAGUGUGAAAAGGGAACAUGAAGAGAGAAUAUUACAAGAAUCAGAGAACAAAGGGAUCGCAAAACUAUUUCAGUGCCUAGAUGAGCAGUGAGGGCUUCGCUCAGGCAAGGUGGGAGAAGAUAUCAUAUGGCAUCCUGACAACUGAUGUCUUCAUUUAAAUGUAAGAAUUUACAUUCUAAUUAGAAAGAAUUUACAUCUUAAUCAGAGCAGCUGUAUUAUCUUGUUACUGUUUUUUCAAAGGUAAUGAACUACAGUACUGCUGUGCCUUUUCAACCAGAAACUAAACAGACAGCAUCUAGUGUUAUUUUAUAGCUUACCUGCUGUAAGCUGUUAUUAAUAUUUUCGAAGAUUAAAUCCUAACUAGAAUCUUUAAAAAAAUGAAAACGUAUUUGACAUCCCUAGAAGAUUAAAUCCUAACUAGAAUCUUUAAAAAAAUGAAAAUGUAUUUGACAUCACUAGAAUAGUGCAAGGUUUGAUUUGAAGUAUUUAAACAAACCCCAUUCCAUCUUCUACAUUAAAUGUACUUAUUUAUCAAGUUAAUAGCAGCCUCUUCU